This 253-nucleotide ribosomal RNA is filed under the name uncultured bacterium. RNAcentral's name for it is "partial 16S ribosomal RNA". It matches the Rfam family "Bacterial small subunit ribosomal RNA", at positions 524 to 776 of the family's 1533-position model. The record is from RNAcentral.
UACGUAGGGACCAAGCGUUGUUCGGAUUUACUGGGCGUAAAGGGCGCGUAGGCGGCUUAACAAGUCACUUGUGAAAUCUCCGGGCUUAACUCGGAACGGCCAAGUGAAACUGUCAAGCUAGAGUGCAGAAGGGGCAAUCGGAAUUCUUGGUGUAGCGGUGAAAUGCGUAGAUAUCAAGAGGAAGACCAGUGGCGAAGGCGGGUCUCUGGACAGUUCCUGACACUGAGGCACGAAGGCCAGGGGAGCAAACGGG